RNAcentral lists this ribosomal RNA (372 nucleotides) under uncultured organism. RNAcentral's name for it is "bacterial SSU rRNA". It matches the Rfam family "Bacterial small subunit ribosomal RNA", at positions 526 to 896 of the family's 1533-position model. The record is from RNAcentral.
CAGAGGGGGCAAGCGUUAUUCGGAAUUAUUGGGCGUAAAGGGCGCGUAGGCGGCUUUGCAAGUGACGGGUGAAAUCCCUCGGCUUAACCGAGGAACUGCCUGUCAGACUGCAUUGCUUGAGUCCGGGAGAGGUGAGUGGAAUUCCCAGUGUAGCGGUGAAAUGCGUAGAUAUUGGGAGGAACACCAGUGGCGAAGGCGGCUCACUGGACCGGAACUGACGCUGAGGCGCGAAAGCGUGGGGAGCAAACAGGAUUAGAUACCCUGGUAGUCCACGCCGUAAACGAUGAGUGCUUGGUGUAGCGGGUAUCGACCCCUGCUGUGCCGAAGUCAACACAUUAAGCACUCCGCCUGGGGAGUACGGUCGCAAGACUG